AUUCCUGACCAACUUGUACACAAACUCCUUGGCUCGCAUCCACGACUCUUCCCAGCCUGGCUCAAGACCGUGUUCUUGCUGUCACCUAUUUGUCUUCACCAAACAUCUUCAUUUUCAAGUGAAUCUAACCUGCUGAUCACAGCUGCCAUUCCAUCCUGCCCUGUCAUGGCGCUGUUCCUCUCAUAGAUGCUUCGUGGAUCCCCCUUCUUUAAAAAGAUAACAGCAAAUGUGUGGCCAUAAAGCUGCCAUCCCUGGAUUUUGCUAAGUGAACCCUCUCUACUUUCCAUUUUUGCAACAUUUUGUUCUUCCUAUUGAGGGAGAGAUCUUAGUGUCCUUUAGAAGAGGAAGGAACAAAAAAGGUGCAAGCAACACUGUUAGCACUUGUGGCUUCUCCCACAUGCUGCUUGGAAGGCAGGUGAAGUCUGGCUUUGUGUUUCCAGCCUUUCUGAUUGGUGGCCCCCGUGGGACCAGAGCAGUCCCUGUGGGUUUUUCCCUGGGACUUGUGGAGGUUAUACGGGCAGGCUUUAAUUUUCCCCGGUAAGGGGACAGAAAGUCACAGGAAACCAACAUUUACCACAGGACAAGUGACAUUCUUUAGUCCUGUCUUUCACAAUUACAGGGAUGGUGUUUUGGCCUCCAUGAUUCUGACUUACUUUCUUAAUUAAUGUUGACCUCUGAAGAGAAAGAGCAGUUAAUUACAAUCUUCCUUUGAACUCAGACACCCACAUGACUCUUUUUAUGAACUUUUCUUUACCACAGAUUUUCCUAAUGUCUUAUUUGUAUUUAUAAUCCAAUAGCAUAAGCAUAUAGAAAGAAGAGGCAAACUUACAAGUUGUCCCCCAUUCUAUCUCUUUAGACUUAGAUUUGUGUACAGGGCUUUGUUCUUGCUUUCUUUGCCCCGGACGCUGUCCUUCCACAGCUUCCGGCUCAUUUCCUUCUAGUCGCUUAAUAGUCACUUCUAGAAAGCUCUAUUUGUUUGUAUAGGGAUUAUUAUAGGCUAACAAAUUUGAUAUUAAAAAUUAAAGAAUAAAUAUAGAUGAUAUUAAAUGAGAUAUUUCCUGUUUCUUCUAAUUAUACGUGAAGCCAGAGCUGAUUAUGAAGUAUACCAAAUUCUCCAUAGCUAUGGUCACAAAGGUCUGUGUGAUAAAGGUUUGCUCUCAGGAGUGGCACUUUUGUGAGAUGGAGGAAUCCUUGGCAGUAGGCCUUGGGGGCUCCUUAGAUCACUGGGAAUACGUCAUUAUGGGGACCAGGGAAUACCUAGACUCUUCUUCUUCCUCUUUCAUCCCUGGCUCAUGAGGUGAGUGAUUUUGCUCUGUUGCUUGCUCUCUGUCAUUGUCAUCUGGCAUCCUCACCAGAGGCCCAAUGCAAUGCUCCCUCCCAUCUUGGAUUGGAGCCUCUGGAACUAUCAGGUAGAUAACCCUUUCCUCAUUAUGUGUUAACUGCUUCAGGUAUUUUGUGUUAGUAAUGUGAAGCUGACUAAUGUAGUCACAUUAUAAAGAUUGACACUAAUCCAUUUUUAUAGAAUUUACUGAGGCAUGACCAGAUGGAAUCUUCAAAUCAUCUUCAAGUAUAUGAGGAUGAUUUGAGAAGGUACUCAACAGAGGAUGGAGGGUAAGAUUACUGCGGCAUUUCCCCGCUCAUCACUCUGAGGAGAAAAAUAGGUUUGUCUCUUUUCUCCAAGCUAGGCAAACCUGGAAGAGUGAUGUCUGCCGACAGGGGAUAUUGAGACGGGGGCCUCCCUCUUAUCUGGAGAGCUAUCAGGGUGCAAGGAUGGCUGAAGAGAUGGUCAGUGAGGACCUCUGGCAGCAGAGGACCCAGCCAGGACUUCCAGAGUCCCACGGAACAAGCUGGGCUUGAACUUGCAGUCUUCCUACCUCAACCUCCCAGAGGGCUGGAUGAUAGGCAUGUGCUUCCAUACCCAUCACGGCUUUCAUAGUUUUAAAAGAGUCAUAUGCAGGAAGAAGAAAUGGAGGCACGAGGAGUUUACUUGUUCAAGAUCACAGAAUUACCAUGCUUCACAACCAGGGUUUAAAUAAGCGGAUCAUAGAUCCAUCAACCAGGUGCCAUCUUGGAAGCAGACAGCAGGCCCUUGCCAGAACCCAGUCCUGUUGUCGCCCUGCUCUUGGAAGUUCCGGCCUCCAGAGAUUUGAGAAAUGAAUGUGUUUGUUAUUUAUAAAUUACCCACUGUAUAGCGUUUUGUUAUAGCAGCAUAAACAAAGAUUUUCAUAGCAUAGCAGAAAAUGUGUGUGUGUAGUGUUAGUACCUAUAGAAGUGCUUAGGACAUGGUAUACAUUAAUAAAUGAUUGUUGAAUAGAAAUGUAUGGGAAAACAAAGUGUAG
Cavia porcellus (domestic guinea pig) is the source of this 2339-nucleotide long non-coding RNA. RefSeq lists it as uncharacterized. The record is from RefSeq and is a predicted model, not a curated record. The transcript has 3 exons. Lineage: Eukaryota; Metazoa; Chordata; Mammalia; Rodentia; Caviidae.